AGGCAGCUCCGCUCCUCUCGUGAGACUGGAGGCUUCAGCUCUCAGCCGAGCGGACCUGGCCAGGCUGCCCGGGUCUCCAACGACCAACAGCAGCCUUUUUAACGCCGUUUUUUGGGGGGAAGCGAGGCUUUCGGACACCGACGCUCAUGUAUAUUUACCCAGCCGUGUAUCUGCGGGCGUAAGGACGGCAGGACCGAGCAAUGUCUGGUUUCACCAACCUGAACAGCUCCGCCGGCUACAGCCAGAACUCAACGCCGAACGGCGGAGCUGCGCCCCCCUAUCAGAAUGGUCCAGUGCAGACAUACCCAUCCAUGUACCCACCUGCAGGUUACUAUGGAGCCCCACCUCAACAACAGGGCUACUCCACCAUUCCUGGCCAUGCUGCACCUGCUCCCAACAAAGCACCCAUCACGAACAAUGCCCACAGUGCUAACUACUACCACAACAACCAUCAGCAGCAGCAGCAAAACCACCUCCCGCAGCAUCAUGUAGCACCCUCGCCAUACAGUGCUCCUCUGAGCUCUGCCCCUCCUUCUCAGCCAUAUGCCGCCCUUCCCUCUGCAGCGCCUCCACCAACAAAUGCCCACUACAACCAACAGCCAUUCCAGCCGCAUCCACCCUAUGCCACUCCAGGAUCCUACUAUGGACAGCAGUCAUACCAUCCUUCCCCAGCACAGCAGCAUCCCAGCUUGGUUCCUGUGACAGCUAGCGGCCCUGGAGCUCCCCUCUGCCCAAUUGUUUCUUACCCGUCUGCUCCAGGAAGUAGCCAGUAUGGCACCCUCAGUUCCUCCCAGAGCACUUCUACACCCGUAGGCAUACCCACCCAGAUGGUGGGUGCUCCCCUACACCAGUACAGCGCUGCACCUCCACCCUCUACGACAGCAGUGCAGCCUGGGUACGGUGUGGGUCCUCCCGGUCAGACGGCGCCAACGGUUGUCAACGGUCAAGGAAGCACAGCCCACAACGCAGUCCACCAACGCUACACCCAAAGCCACCAGGCCUCCCUGAGCUAUGACUCCUACAGUGGGGUCCCUCAAAGCAGUGGUGGUGCAGACACAGACCAGCCGCCCUCAGGAACCCCCUCCACUUCAGUCCAUUCCUCACCGGGCCAUCACCAAGGCGUGCAGUACGGAUAUGUUGCUAAUAGUGGAGCUAGCUCUGCCUCUGCCACCACCUCAGGCCCAGCAGCAGCAGCAGCAGCCCCCUCGUCAUCCAGCUCUGAUGAUGAUGAUGAGGAGGAGGAUGAGGAUGAGGAAGCAGGUGGCGACACCUCCUCUUCCACUACUGGCAGUGCCUCUCCGGUGCCCAACAGCUACGAUUCCUUAGAAGGCGGCAGUUAUCCAGAUUCCAUGCCACCCUCUAAUGAUAUGACCAACCAGGCUCCUCCUUAUGGUAGCUAUGGUUACCCCAGCAUGCAGUCAGCCUAUCAGCAGGGACCAGCCUCCCACACGGAUGCCUCACCUUCCCACGACCUGUACGGGCAGUCAAGCUACCAGCAGUACUCCAAGCCAUUCCCCAACCUCUCCCAGCUGUCUGCCGCCCUCGGUGGGCUGAGCGGGGUUCCUGAGCUGGAGGUGGAGGCGCUGAGGCCCGUCAACCUGCUGCAGGAGAGGAACCUGCUGCCCCCGCGGCCCUUGGAGCCCCCUGAACCCAACGUCAGCUCCGAUCUUAAGAAGGUCAACUGCAGUCCGCAGACUUUCAGGUGUACCCUGACCAGCAUCCCCCAGACCCAGGCUUUACUCAACAAGGCCAGACUCCCUCUGGGGCUCCUCCUGCACCCCUUCAGAGAUCUACAGCAGUUACCGGUGAUCACAUCGAACACAAUAGUGCGCUGUCGCUCCUGUCGCACCUACAUCAACCCAUUUGUCACCUUCCUGGACCAGCGCAGGUGGAAGUGCAACCUGUGUUAUCGGGUCAACGAUGUUCCAGAUGAGUUUAUGUACAACCCAGUCACCAGGUCGUAUGGAGAACCACACAAGAGGCCAGAGGUCCAAAACUCUACAGUGGAGUUCAUUGCCUCAUCAGACUACAUGUUGCGGCCUCCUCAGCCGGCGGUCUACCUGUUUGUGCUCGACGUUUCUCACAAUGCUGUAGAAGCAGGAUACCUGAAGUACUUCUGUGAAUCACUUCUUGAGAACCUGACCAAGUUGCCGGGGGAUAUGCGCACCAGGGUGGGCUUCCUCACCUUUGACAGCACCAUCCACUUUUAUAACCUCCAAGAGGGUCUGUCUCAGCCGCAGAUGCUGGUCGUGUCGGACAUUGACGAUGUCUUUAUCCCAUCCCAUGACAGUCUGAUGGUGAACCUAAAGGAGAGCAAAGAGCUGGUGAAGGACUUGCUGACGUCGCUACCGGAGAUGUUCAGCCAGACCAGGGAGACCCACAGUGCCCUCGGUCCUGCCUUACAGGCCGCCUAUAAGCUCAUGUCCCCGACCGGCGGCCGCAUCACGGUGUUCCAGACUCAGCUGCCGACGCUGGGUGCCGGGGCGCUGCAGUCGAGAGAAGACCCCAAUCAGCGCUCGAGUGCGAAGGGAGUACAGCACCUUGGCCCAGCCACAGACUUCUAUAAGAAACUUGCACUGGACUGCUCAGGACAACAGAUUGGAGUGGAUCUUUUCCUGCUCAGCUCGCAGUACGCCGACCUCGCCUCAUUAGCAUGUAUGUCCAAGUAUUCAGCGGGCAGCGUCUUCUACUACCCCUCCUUUCAUUACAUCCACAACCCGGCUCAGCUGGAGAAGUUCCAGAAGGAUCUGGAGCGCUACCUCACCAGAAAGAUCGGCUUUGAGGCCGUCAUGAGAAUACGAUGCACUAAAGGUUUAUCCAUUCACACGUUCCACGGGAACUUCUUUGUGCGCUCUACUGACCUGCUGUCCCUGGCCAAUGUGAACCCAGACUCUGCCUUCGCUGUCCAGAUGUCAAUCGAAGACUCUCUGGCGGACUCGUCGCUGGCCUGCUUCCAGGCUGCUCUGCUCUACACGUCUAGUAGAGGUAAGAGGCGUAUCAGGGUCCACACUCUGUGUCUGCCGGUGGUCAACCAGCUGAGUGAUGUGUAUGCCGGAGCUGACGUCCAGGCAAUCACCUGUCUGUUAGCCAACAUGGCUAUCGACAGGUCCGUAUCAUCCAGCCUGUCGGACGCACGUGACGCUCUGGUGAACGCCGUGGUGGACCUGGUGAGCGCCUACAAGAGCAACGUGUCGAACCUGCAGCAGUCCGGACUUGUCGUCCCCGCGUCCAUGCGCCUCUUCCCCCUCUACAUCCUCGCUCUCCUCAAACAGAAAGCGCUGCGGACCGGCACCAGCACGCGGCUGGACGAGCGGGUCUUUGCCAUGUGCGAGUUCAAGACGCAGCCGCUGCAGCAGCUGAUGCGAAUGGUUCAUCCUGACCUGUACAGGCUGGACAACCUGUCUGACCAGGGGGCGCUCCAUCUGAACGACACCGUGGUUCCCCAGCCUCAUCUGCUCCACCUGUCUGCUGAGAGGCUGAGCAGAGACGGAGCUUUCCUCAUGGACUGCGGCAACGUGUUUUAUCUGUGGAUUGGCAAAUGCUGCAAUGAAAUGUUCAUCCGGGAUGUUCUGGGCUGCCCCAACUACGCUUCAAUACCCCCCAACAUGAGUCACAUUCCUGAGCUGGAGACUCCUCUUUCUGAGAGGGUACGAGCGUUCCUCGACUGGCUGCAGGACAACCGAGCGUUCAGCUGCACGAUGCACGUCGUCAAAGACGAUGCUUCAGCUAAAGCCACUUUGUUCCAGCACCUGGUGGAGGACCAGUCCGAGGUGGCCUCUUCCUACCGUGAUUUCCUGCAGCACAUUCAGCAGCAAAUGUCCAAGUAGGCUCCUAUCAUGCUAAGAGAAACUUCGGCCACUAGAUUCCUGAAACCAGAGCAGGACUGGACUUCAGCUCGUAGAGUGAGAACUAGCGUUAGCCAGCAGUGGUCUCCCAUCGCUCCCUCAGACCAGUUUCAGUGAGGUGGGUUUCCUUUCACAGUCUUACUGAACAAAUCCAUCUCCGCAGCCCGUCGGCCGGCUGCGAUCCGACCAUCACAAGGGAAGGAGGAGCGUGUCGUCGCUGCCUCGUAACCACUGUCGAACCUGUUCGAAGAAAGAAGGGGAAAGAGGGUCAAGCCAAGAAGAUGCCACUUCAAACAUGUUCAGUUCUGUUUGUUUAUGUGAGCCUAACAUGUAGCUAGUGCUGUUUCUGUUUUCUUUUUUUUUUUCUUCUAUAAUUUAUUCCCUUCCUAUUUUUCAUUCUGAGACUAUUUCGAAUACACUGGAGACCGGAAACAAGAGUAUCGGUAUGUGCUUUGGAAACGCAUGUCGCCGUCCGCUGCUAGUCCGGUGAUGAACGACGGCCCUUCAGGAACGAGAUUCGACAGCAGCUGGACAUUUGAAACUCCUGUUGGCUGCUUCUUCUUCUCUGCUCCACUGUGUGAAACCCCCGAGAAGUCAAGAUCGACACCCGGUUUGGACGUUAUCAAACCCUUCAAUAGGUCUCUCUCUAUCUCCCCACACAUCCACCAACCACUGGAACACAUCUCCAAAGUUCUGCCAGGCCAGCUCAGCUUCCCCUCAGAAGAAGUGGUGCCACCUGCCAGAUGAAGGAGCCUUUUGAGAGGAUGCUGGCAUCGUGAUUGGACUGUACUUUGGUCUGUUCCAAUCCAGCUUCAGCUCCAGAGACGGCAGGCGGGACGAGUCAACGGAGGCCGGGUGGACGAAGGCAUGCAGCUGAGUACAAUCCAGAAAACAACAGAGGAGGAGUGCAGCAGCCCAGAACCAGAACAGAAUAGCAUGACCAAAGAACUACAGAUUCUUCACAACCUGCUCAAACUCUUGGUACAGGACCUCACCACAUGGGUCAAGAAGGUUUCCGUCUCAUUUCUACUCUGAAGCUCACCUUCUCCUGCUCAAACUGCUGACAAAUGUUUCUGCUGCUCUAAAGUCUGGUCUCCAGAACUUCCUAAAAACUCUCAAAGGCUCUUCUGCUGCAGGUUGCUUUGUAGAACUGUUCCAGAAAACCUCACUAAACCACAUGGAGGGGCCUCAAGAUAGUCGUCCAAAUGAAACCAUACAAAAACCAAACUAGAACAACCCAAACGCUAAAGUCUCCUGUAGCCUACCAGAGAACCUCUGAGAACAGAGAAUCAGGACAGGAACUCUUACCUUCUGGACAACCAACAUUGGUUCACAAACAAGAAUACAGAAUGUGUCUGACCAAAAACCUCUAAAGACUCACUACAGCCAAGAUAAAGACACAACUCAGCUGCACCAAAUCCACUAAUCACUGCACACAUUAGCACCAUGUGCUAACUGUGGCUAAAGAACCACAUUUACCAAGACAACUAUCUGGUACAAAGCCCUGAAACACACCAAGAAACACAUUAAAGACGAUUUUACUGCUGGAAGCUGCAAGCCAACGCCUAAAGAACAAACUAAAGCAAUGGAGCCAAACCCGGUUCAGUGGUGAAGAGAAGCAGAGGAAAUGUUUGUCUGCAGCUAAAUAAAGCAGGAAGACACUGA
Molecule: RNA transcript, 5510 nt
Organism: Amphiprion ocellaris (clown anemonefish)
Lineage: Eukaryota; Metazoa; Chordata; Actinopteri; Pomacentridae
Gene: sec24b
Gene name: SEC24 homolog B, COPII coat complex component
Exons: 27
Source: RefSeq, a predicted model, not a curated record